CUUGCCCGGUGCUGCAGUUUCACUACUGCUGGUGGCAACAGUAGUAGUAGUAGGUAGGACCAUAGCUGUCACACUCAAAUGGACCAAAAUGGCACCGUUAAUUCCCUUCAUCGUCAAUUGCUCAUGUAGUAGAUGUUUUUGGUCUGUCGUCAAUUACUAGAGAUCGGAGUUUGUCAACGAGUAGUCUGGAUUGCUCACGUAGACUAUUGAUAUUGAUGGAGCUAGGCCUCUGCUGCCGCUGCGCUUAUUGGUGCUGGAGGAGGAAAAUGAGAGCUAAUUAUGUGGUGGUGCCGAGGAGGAGUAGUGGUGGUAGAAGGUAACUCCUUAAAUUUGCCUGUUUAUUUUCGUUUCUAUUUUUUUUUAAUUUUUAACCUAUAUGUCCUCCUUUUUUUUGCCCUCUUCGAGAUGAUCUGAAAGAAAAGCUUCAACUCCAGAUCUUCAAGCUAAAGUAGUAGAGCGAGGUAUGCUUGAUUUUCUCCACUUUUUUUCCUAAUUAUUUCAUUUCAUUGGGAUUUUUUUUUCUGAUUUUUCCUAAAAAAGAAAGAAUACAGAAAAUCGUUCUUUUUUCCCUUUUAUUUCUUAGGGUAUUUUUUCCAUUAAUUGAACUAGGAUCUACUUAUUUUUCUAAAUUUGUAUGGACCAUCUAAUCAUUUUCAUUUAGUGCCCUUUAUUUAUUAUUGGUGAUUUUUAUAAAUUGAGUGCUUAACCUUUACUAUUGUAGGUUUGACUGUAACAAUCCUAAUAGCUAUAUUAGUAGCAGCAGUAAUCCCAAAAAGAAAGAUGGAUUCCUUUAGGUUAUGCCACCGUCAAGCAAGAGGUACUUUUUUCCUCCUCUUUUUUUUUUCUAGAGCAUUGGUUUUAUGUGUUCAAUUUUUUUUUUUAAUGUUCCUUUAUGAAUUGACAUUGUUCUUUUUCUUUUUUCUACCUCUUGGAUUCUGAAUUUUUCUCAUGAGUUUUGAAUCAAGGAGCUGGAGUAAUUAGGUCCCAAUAAAGGCUGGUGAAAGAUGUUGUCCAGAGUUUAGUGGAUGAUGACCUUGUUUCAAAAGACAAGAUAGGGACUACUGUGAGUAAACUUGUGAGAACCCAGAAAAAAAAAAAAAAUUUUUAUUUAUUUAUUAUUUUAUUCCUGUGCACCCGUUUUCUUUUAAUUUCUUUAUUAUAUUACUUUUAUCAAUAUUUUAUCAGUAAAUAUAGUUCUUAAAUCAUUUUUCUAGUAUAAGGUAGUUCGUGAGAAUUUUGGAACGUCUUUUGGUCGCGGGACCCACUAGUGCAUUAAGUGAGAGAAAUUUGACCAAGUAGGUUAAUUUUUUUGCGUAAAGAAAUUUUGUUACUAGGUAUUAGGAGAUAAUUGGAGGUUUUCUAGAUGGAUUAGCCAUGAGGGACAAGAAGAUAGCUCUAGCAAAAAUAAUGCGCCAAGUGUCAAAUUGUUGUUGGACUAAACUUGCCUAACUUUGCCUAACUUUCUUUAACUUGAAUAAAAGACCAAAAAUUGACCAAAUCAUCUUCAUUUCAGCCUUGUCUUGGCCGAACCUCUCUAGCAAGCAAAGGAAAAAAUUCUUCAACCUUCCAUCUUCUAAUCUUGCUCAAAUCUUGAAAACUAGCCGUUUGUUUCUUGAAUUAGUCCAUAAAAACAUCUUGCUAAGGGUCUUUGAAGAACUUGGUGGUGUUGUUUUGGAAGAAAACCUCACAAGCUACAACCUUUCUUGAAGAACUAAGGUAUCUUGCUUGGAACUCAUCUUUUGUUAUAAAUUUUGGCCAAUUGGUGCCUUAUAGUAGCUAUUUACGCGAUUUUUCGGAAGAUUUGGUGGAUUGGAGUGAAGUUUCCUAAUUUUCUGAUUUUUCUGGAUUUUUUUCUGGAAUUUUCUGUUUUCCUAUGAUGGAUAUGAUUGAGCUUGAAUUGGUGGUUCUAAAUGGUAUUAAAUAGUUCUCUUGUGCGUUAAUUGUGGUUAAUUGCGGAAAAUUUCCGCUUGUGCGGAAAAUUUCAGAUUUAGGGUUUCAAAUUGGGGGUUUUCUAUUGUUGAUUGUUGAACUUCUAAUUGGCUAUAAUUGAAGGGUAUUAUGACCCUAAUGACGCAUAUGGAAUGGCUUAUAUAUUGUUUGGGUGCUUGUGGUUGUGUUGGAUGGCUUUUAUUGGUUGUCUUAUAGGUUGGAAAAGCUGAAAUUUUAGGGGAAAUGCUGUCCAAGUGUCUAGGGUAUUGGAUUCUUAUGUGUUGGGUUGAGAUUUGAUAGAAGUGAAUAAUCUUAGGGUUUAUUUCUACUUUUAACCCUACAUGUUAUGUAUUUUUCAUUUCCAAGCUAUAUUUGGGUCUUGCCUUAAUAGUUCCUAGAAAAAGGUAUUCGACUUGUGUUUGCGUUUUCAUUGUACUUUCUUGAUUGUUAUAGGGCAUGCCGGUGAUCCGAGGCUCACGUCGGGCGAAAACUUGUGAAAUUUCUUUGUUGAACUUG
RNAcentral lists this long non-coding RNA (2445 nucleotides) under Coffea arabica (coffee). RNAcentral describes it as "long non-coding RNA (CARA_LNC005630)". The record is from RNAcentral. Lineage: Eukaryota; Viridiplantae; Streptophyta; Magnoliopsida; Gentianales; Rubiaceae.